AAACCUAGAAAAGCGACGGAUAGAGUACUUUAGUCCGUCACUUUUCUGGAUUUUU
RNAcentral lists this microRNA precursor (55 nucleotides) under Solanum tuberosum (potato). Its description in RNAcentral is "MIR8008 microRNA precursor family". It matches the Rfam family "MIR8008 microRNA precursor family". The record is from Rfam by way of RNAcentral. Lineage: Eukaryota; Viridiplantae; Streptophyta; Magnoliopsida; Solanales; Solanaceae.